UACGUAGGGGGCAAGCGUUGUCCGGAAUCAUUGGGCGUAAAGCGCGCGUAGGCGGCCCGGUAAGUCCGUUGUGAAAGUCAAAGGCUCAACCUUUGAACGCCGAUGGAUACUGCCGGGCUAGAGUCCGGAAGAGGCGAGUGGAAUUCCUGGUGUAGCGGUGGAAUGCGCAGAUAUCAGGAAGAACACCAACGGCGAAGGCAGCUCGCUGGGACGGUACUGACGCUGAGACGCGAAAGCGUGGGGAGCGAACAGG
RNAcentral lists this ribosomal RNA (253 nucleotides) under uncultured bacterium. RNAcentral describes it as "partial 16S ribosomal RNA". It matches the Rfam family "Bacterial small subunit ribosomal RNA", at positions 524 to 776 of the family's 1533-position model. The record is from RNAcentral.